This is a long non-coding RNA of Solenopsis invicta (red fire ant), 473 nucleotides long. RefSeq lists it as uncharacterized. The transcript has 2 exons. NCBI's taxonomy places the organism in Eukaryota, Metazoa, Arthropoda, Insecta, Hymenoptera, Formicidae. The record is from RefSeq and is a predicted model, not a curated record.
AUUUUCCGAUCGUAAUAGUUAACUUUCUUUGCGAUCUCAAAAUCAACAGCAAUAAAAUACGACUCUGCGUGGGAUGCGAGCUGUACCACUUCGCUUCGUAAGCUGCAUCGCCGAUCAUUCUGCUCUGCAAUUGAGAACUGCAUCAGAGCUAUAUACGAGAAGACUCUCUCAAUGUCGGACGAGAGAGCUAUAAUCCUCUGAUGUUGACGUAUUAGAGCUUUGAUGGUUGAGGUUUGCAAGUCGAACGUGUCGUCACCUGAGGAGAUUUCUACCAACCCUCGACACAUUAUAUCGAUUUGCCCACCUACGUGAAGAAUCUAAAAAUAACGGUCAACGCCCUGCAGUGUGUUCUUGAUAUUGCCGCAUUCAGUGAAAAAAACAACAACAUGUAAAUACAAUGGUUUAUCAACGAGAGAAUCAACAGCAAAUAAGCAAGAUCUAUUAAAUGUUAAAAGUAAAGUUCUAUAAUAUGA